UACGAGUGCCUCAAGCGUUAUCCGGAAUCAUUGGGCGUAAAGGUUGUGUAGGUGGUCAUAUUAGUCUUCUGUUAAAUUCUUCGGCUUAACCGGGGGCAUGCAGAGGAAACGGUAUGACUUGAGGAUGCGAGGGGUCUGUGGAACUCAUAGUGUAGCGGUGAAAUGCGUUGAUAUUAUGGGGAGCACCAAAAGCGAAGGCAGCAGACUGGAGCACUCCUGACACUGAAACAAGAAAGCGUGGGUCGCGAAUGGG
RNAcentral lists this ribosomal RNA (253 nucleotides) under uncultured bacterium. RNAcentral describes it as "partial 16S ribosomal RNA". It matches the Rfam family "Bacterial small subunit ribosomal RNA", at positions 524 to 776 of the family's 1533-position model. The record is from RNAcentral.